This 251-nucleotide ribosomal RNA is filed under the name uncultured bacterium. Its description in RNAcentral is "partial 16S ribosomal RNA". It matches the Rfam family "Bacterial small subunit ribosomal RNA", at positions 524 to 776 of the family's 1533-position model. The record is from RNAcentral.
UACGGGGGGGGCAAGCGUUGUUCGGAAUUACUGGGCGUAAAGGGCGCGUAGGCGGCCUGCUAAGUCGGACGUGAAAUCCCUCGGCUCAACCGAGGAACUGCGUCCGAUACUGGUGGGCUUGAAUCCGGGAGGGAUGUGGAAUUCCAGGUGUAGCGGUGAAAUGCGUAGAUAUCUGGAGGAACACCGGUGGCGAAGGCGACAUCCUGGACCGGUAUUGACGCUGAGGCGCGAAAGCCAGGGGAGCAAACGGG